UACGGAGGUGGCAAGCGUUGUUCGGAUUCAUUGGGCGUAAAGGGUGCGUAGGCGGCGCGGUAAGUCGGGUGUGAAAUCUUGGAGCUUAACUCCGAAACUGCAUUCGAUACUGCCGUGCUUGAGGACUGGAGAGGAGACUGGAAUUUACGGUGUAGCGGUGAAAUGCGUAGAUAUCGUAAGGAAGACCAGUGGCGAAGGCGGGUCUCUGGACAGUUCCUGACGCUGAGGCACGAAGGCCAGGGGAGCAAACGGG
Molecule: ribosomal RNA, 253 nt
Filed under: uncultured bacterium
Lineage: Bacteria
Description: partial 16S ribosomal RNA
Rfam family: Bacterial small subunit ribosomal RNA
Source: RNAcentral